Molecule: ribosomal RNA, 819 nt
Filed under: Staphylococcus aureus
Lineage: Bacteria; Bacillati; Bacillota; Bacilli; Caryophanales; Staphylococcaceae
Description: partial 23S ribosomal RNA
Rfam family: Bacterial large subunit ribosomal RNA
Source: RNAcentral
CAUCUGGAAAGAUGAAUCAAAGAAGGUAAUAAUCCUGUAGUCGAAAAUGUUGUCUCUCUUGAGUGGAUCCUGAGUACGACGGAGCACGUGAAAUUCCGUCGGAAUCUGGGAGGACCAUCUCCUAAGGCUAAAUACUCUCUAGUGACCGAUAGUGAACCAGUACCGUGAGGGAAAGGUGAAAAGCACCCCGGAAGGGGAGUGAAAUAGAACCUGAAACCGUGUGCUUACAAGUAGUCAGAGCCCGUUAAUGGGUGAUGGCGUGCCUUUUGUAGAAUGAACCGGCGAGUUACGAUUUGAUGCAAGGUUAAGCAGUAAAUGUGGAGCCGUAGCGAAAGCGAGUCUGAAUAGGGCGUUUAGUAUUUGGUCGUAGACCCGAAACCAGGUGAUCUACCCUUGGUCAGGUUGAAGUUCAGGUAACACUGAAUGGAGGACCGAACCGACUUACGUUGAAAAGUGAGCGGAUGAACUGAGGGUAGCGGAGAAAUUCCAAUCGAACCUGGAGAUAGCUGGUUCUCUCCGAAAUAGCUUUAGGGCUAGCCUCAAGUGAUGAUUAUUGGAGGUAGAGCACUGUUUGGACGAGGGGCCCCUCUCGGGUUACCGAAUUCAGACAAACUCCGAAUGCCAAUUAAUUUAACUUGGGAGUCAGAACAUGGGUGAUAAGGUCCGUGUUCGAAAGGGAAACAGCCCAGACCACCAGCUAAGGUCCCAAAAUAUAUGUUAAGUGGAAAAGGAUGUGGCGUUGCCCAGACAACUAGGAUGUUGGCUUAGAAGCAGCCAUCAUUUAAAGAGUGCGUAAUAGCUCACUAGUCGAGUGACACU